This is a non-coding RNA of Dermochelys coriacea (leatherback sea turtle), 888 nucleotides long. NCBI's taxonomy places the organism in Eukaryota, Metazoa, Chordata, Testudines, Dermochelyidae. The record is from the annotation of a RefSeq genome assembly.
GAAAGGUGGAGUGGGUGGAAGAGCCACCAAACAGAGACGGUUUCACAUAGAAAUCAUUAGCAAACACCACUCCCCUCUCCUAGUUUCCUCUGGGUUUGGGCAUUGGGGUCAGAUCCGCCCCUCUCGACUUUUCAAGGAGGCAUGUGUGUCGGUUUAUAGCAUUCAGCCAACAACCCCCUUGCUUCCCUGUUGAGUUUUCACCGCCUCUUUGUGACUCAGAGCAGAGUCCGCUAAACAAUGGCCAUGUGUUUUGUUCUAAGCCUUUUUAUACUCACUCUAUGUCCAGGUGCUGUGCUGGGUGAUUCGGUCCAGUCCAAGGAAUCCCAAGUGUCUGGAGUAGAAGGAAACUCAAUAACAUUCAGCUGUUCCUACAAUACCAGCGAUUUUUCGGGCGUCUAUCUCUCCUGGUACCGACAGUCUCCUAACCGAGCCCCGCAGUACAUUCUGCGGAGAGGGACAAAGGCAUACGCUGCUUAUAGCGAAAAUGCGGAUUUCGCCCAGGGGAGGUUUUCUUCCCAGGCCGAUGACAGCUCCACAGUUCUGAACAUCACAGCCCUGGAGCUGGCAGACACCGCGGUGUAUUACUGCGCCCUGCAGAGAGCACAGUGACAGACCCACACAGGAGACCUGCACAAAACCCUCCCUUCCCUACAGCGCUGGAGGUUGCAGACAUUGAAGCUGCCCAACAGUGCUCCUGAGGAGAGUGAUCACUAAAAACAGCGAUUUUGGCGUGAUUAAGUUGUUAAAGCAGCUCCAUUAAAACGACACCCCUAGAGAAUCACAGAAUUGUAGGACUGGAAGGCCCUGUGUUAUCUUCUAGACCAUCCCUGACAGUUGUUUGCUUAACCUCCCUUAAAAACCUCCAAUAAGGGAGAUUCCACAACCUCC